GAUGAACGCUGGCGGCGCGCCUAACACAUGCAAGUCGAACGGCACCCCUCUCCGGAGGGAAGCGAGUGGCGAACGGCUGAGUAACACGUGGAGAACCUGCCCCCUCCCCCGGGAUAGCCGCCCGAAAGGACGGGUAAUACCGGAUACCCCCGGGCGCCGCAUGGCGCCCGGGCUAAAGCCCCGACGGGAGGGGAUGGCUCCGCGGCCCAUCAGGUAGACGGCGGGGUGACGGCCCACCGUGCUGACAACGGGUAGCCGGGUUGAGAGACCGACCGGCCAGAUUGGGACUGAGACACGGCCCAGACUCCUACGGGAGGCAGCAGUGGGGAAUCUUGCGCAAUGGGGGGAACCCUGACGCAGCGACGCCGCGUGCGGGACGGAGGCCUUCGGGUCGUAAACCGCUUUCAGCAGGGAAGAGUCAAGACUGUACCUGCAGAAGAAGCCC
Molecule: ribosomal RNA, 445 nt
Filed under: uncultured bacterium
Lineage: Bacteria
Description: bacterial SSU rRNA
Rfam family: Bacterial small subunit ribosomal RNA
Source: RNAcentral